RNAcentral lists this ribosomal RNA (460 nucleotides) under uncultured bacterium. Its description in RNAcentral is "partial 16S ribosomal RNA". It matches the Rfam family "Bacterial small subunit ribosomal RNA", at positions 338 to 795 of the family's 1533-position model. The record is from RNAcentral.
ACUACGUGAUGCAGCAGUGAGGAAUAUUGGUCAAUGGACGAGAGUCUGAACCAGCCAAGUAGCGUGAAGGAUGACUGCCCUCUGGGUUGUAAACUUCUUUUAUAUGGGAAUAAAAUGUUCCCCGUGUGGGAUUUUGUAUGUACCAUAUGAAUAAGGAUCGGCUAACUCCGUGCCAGCAGCCGCGGUAAUACGGAGGAUCCGAGCGUUAUCCGGAUUUAUUGGGUUUAAAGGGAGCGUAGGUGGAUUGUUAAGUCAGUUGUGAAAGUUUGCGGCUCAACCGUAAAAUUGCAGUUGAAACUGGCAGUCUUGAGGACAGUAGAGGUGUGCGGAAUGCGUGGUGUAGCGGUGAAAUGCUUAGAUAUCACGAAGAACUCCGAUUGCGAAGGCAGUUCACUGGACUGCAACUGACACUGAGGCUCGAAAGUGUGGGUAUCAAACAGGAUUAGAUACCCGAGUAGUC